This 1734-nucleotide long non-coding RNA is filed under the name Phasianus colchicus (ring-necked pheasant). Its description in RNAcentral is "lncRNA (ENSPCLG00000017970.1)". The record is from RNAcentral. Lineage: Eukaryota; Metazoa; Chordata; Aves; Galliformes; Phasianidae.
AAACAACAUGGAUCUUGCAAUUUUAUCAGGACAAUGCAAGUAGAUUUCAGCAAGGUUGGUUCCAACUCAUCUGUGAUAAAUGAGAAGAUAAGGCAAUCAGUGCACACCAUGACACUCUGUGCAGCUAGUUAGGCACACUUCAGAACUAUUCAGGUGUGCUCACGAAGCCUAUGAGUCUUUCAUGGGGGGUGUCUCAAUAUAAAUACGUCCUUCAUGGUGGCCACUGGAAAUGCAGGACUUGCUUUUCCAAGACUUAACCCAGGUCAGAUAUAAAUAAUAGAUAUUAAGAGUUAGCUCUAAUGCUGAGGCUGUGUUAGAGACUAUAUUUUGGUUAGAUAAAAAGAAUGCAUUUUUUUUUUCUUCUCCUUCUUUUCUUUGCUUAGCUGCUUGACAGAUGCCUGUAAAAUUCCAACACACUUUUGCAUGGACCUGUUUGGGUCUCUGAGAGAGAAGGUUUCAGCUUCUUAAGAGCAAAGAUUUAUAUCCAAGAAGCUCUACUGGCCCUGCACCAACGAUUACAAGUCUGCAAACUGUUGCAAGCCGUGAGUCUCUGGGAGGUCUGCUCAAAAGGCCAUUUAGUGAGGCGGUCAUUCAGACUGCCACCUGUGAAGGCGUGUUUGGGAACAAAUGCAUGGGAGUAUGAAGACGUAGAUGAUGAGAUGAGAACUUGCACCAGAACUAUAUGACUGAAGAAACCCCCAUUUAUGUAAUAUGUAACUUCAAGAGUUAGUAGCAUUCACAGAGAAAUUGCUUUCUCAGUCCAGUGGAGGUGGCAGAAGGAAGCGAGGUAAGAUUUGUGUUGUGUGCACCUGGAGAUGAAAUGGUGAGCAGUGCUUCGGUGCUACGUGCAGGAGAACUGGCUGUGUGUGUUUCUGAAGCUGCUGGUGGAGGGCUGAAGUCCUACCAAUGAAAUACACUUAGUCAUGACAUUCAGAACGUGCACUGAGCCUUGCCUGGUGCUCGCAGUCGCUCAGCCAGGCUGGCUGAUGAGGCAAAGCGAGGAGACGCAGUUGGGAAUUGUUAAAUGAGGCUUGCGAUAUUGUUGUCAAACUAUUGAUCAUCUGCGGCUCGACAGGAAGGAGGGGAGCUCUGCUAAAAGCUGACCAAGCUCAGAAAGAGCAGCAGCAAAGCAUUGGGCACGAGGGACGAUUUUUGGGAGCGGAGGCCCGGCCCGCCCGCUGCCGCAGCUGCCGGAGCUCCGCGCAGGGGUCAGAGCUCAGCCCUAAUCCUGUUGCCCCCCCUGCUGGUUAAAAGCCUGUGCUCAUUUUGUUACUUUACACCGAGAUAAACAUCGCAGUCAUUUCACACUUCCUUUAACAUUCGAUAUGAAUUUAAUUAUCAUUUGUCUGGACUUCAUUUGUUUGGGAGGAAAAACAGUUUGUCGUAGAUGCUUGCCUUGUUGAUUUAUUUUUCCGUUAUCAUGUGUGCAAUCCACCAAAGACUCCAAUGCUUGACAUGUUCUAAGCAGCCGGCCUCAGUUCUCCUUUUCAUCUUUCUUAUUUUUUUGUGAGAAAAGGCAGGAAAUUAAAAACUCACUUUUAUUGAGGAGUGAGCAAAAAAUUUGGGUUUCUCAUGGUGGAGUUUACAGGUAGCAGCCAAGCGUUUGUGACUGUGACUGUCAGCACUAUCUUCGUUGUCAAACUAACAUGAGAGGAAGUUUGAUAACCUCCAGGUAAAAGCCCUUUGAUUUUUAUUUUAAAUUCCAAUAAAAUUUUAGAGGUCUUGUUUGAGGCA